Non-coding RNA from Labrus bergylta (ballan wrasse), 485 nucleotides. NCBI's taxonomy places the organism in Eukaryota, Metazoa, Chordata, Actinopteri, Labriformes, Labridae. The record is from RefSeq and is a predicted model, not a curated record.
GUAUCCGGAAAGGGUUGAAACUUAGUUUCGUUUUCUAACAGGCACUCUUGGGUUGAACGCUUGGGUUGGACGUCGUCGCUUCUUCGUGGUUUAGAUACUAUUUGUGAAAUUAAAAGUUGUAAGAUACUCAAAACAUUCAAUAUUAGCGUUGACGCGACUUAUUAUUCUGUUUUAAUUACCUGAAGAGAAGAUGCAACAACUGCACGUGUUGGUUUUUUCUCUCUUCCUGUUUUGGAUUUCGCACCCAGUCAACGCGCUUGAAACAGUGUAUGGUGCAGAAGGUGAUGACAUUGUCCUCACGCCACCUCUUCAGUCUCCGUCUCCUUCCAUCACAAGCAUUCAGUGGAUACAUGGAGAGGACAUCGUUGCAGAGUGGUAUCAAGGGCAUGGAACUGAGACAAAUUGUUUUACCAAGUUCAAAGGUCGCUGCAAGCUGAAUCUUUUGACCGGGGCGCUGACAAUCACAGGACUGACUAAAACCGACA